Molecule: long non-coding RNA, 320 nt
Filed under: Gallus gallus (chicken)
Lineage: Eukaryota; Metazoa; Chordata; Aves; Galliformes; Phasianidae
Description: long non-coding RNA NONGGAT009092
Source: RNAcentral
CGCGGCGCUUCGGGCCGAGUUUGGAGCUGUUUGGCUGCCGUCGGGGCUGUAGGACCGGAGCUGGCCGUUGUGUAAGCAAGCAGAAGCGAGUUUUCAUUAGCAACUCAUUUUGCACGGUACAGCCGUCACAGGGUCAUUGCACAAAUAAAAGCCAAGCAAGGCAGACGAGUUACAGGACUGCCUAUGUAGACAAAAGAAUUCGCUGAAGGCCACGGAACCUGAGGCCGGGCAGCGUCUUGUGACUCCCAGUCUGGUGCUUUGACUGCUGACUGCUCCCGCUUUACAUGCUGUAAGAUCAACAGAUUUUGGUACAACCAGAG